This 279-nucleotide ribosomal RNA is filed under the name uncultured bacterium. Its description in RNAcentral is "partial 16S ribosomal RNA". It matches the Rfam family "Bacterial small subunit ribosomal RNA", at positions 506 to 784 of the family's 1533-position model. The record is from RNAcentral.
UGCCAGCCGCCGCGGUAAGACGGAGGGCGCAAGCGUUAAUCAGAAUCACUGGGCUUAAAGGGUACGUAGGCGGGUCUGUUAGUGUCUUGUGAAAUCCCACGGCUCAACCGUGGAACUGCUUGGCAUACUGCAGGCCUUGAGGUCGGUAGGGGCUGUCGGAACUCUAGGUGUAGCGGUGAAAUGCGUAGAUAUCUAGAGGAACGCCAAUAGUGAAGACAGGCAGCUGGUCCGAUCCUGACGCUGAGGUACGAAAGCGUGGGUAGCGAACGGGAUUAGAUA